This is a small nucleolar RNA of Dipodomys spectabilis (banner-tailed kangaroo rat), 141 nucleotides long. RefSeq annotates it as small nucleolar RNA SNORA8. The transcript has a single exon. The record is from RefSeq and is a predicted model, not a curated record. NCBI's taxonomy places the organism in Eukaryota, Metazoa, Chordata, Mammalia, Rodentia, Heteromyidae.
UACCCUGGAUUGAAUCUCGAAAGAUUAAAAAAAAAAGUAAACUUCAUGUUCAAAGGACAGCGAGAUAGAAAUUCAAUAUCUGGCAUCGUUGGUUUUCUUGGCCUUGUCUUUGGUAAAUCUGGUAUUUCUAUUGAUACAGUA